RNAcentral lists this ribosomal RNA (177 nucleotides) under Klebsiella aerogenes. Its description in RNAcentral is "partial 16S ribosomal RNA". It matches the Rfam family "Bacterial small subunit ribosomal RNA", at positions 1 to 173 of the family's 1533-position model. The record is from RNAcentral. RNAcentral also lists the same sequence under 2 other names. Lineage: Bacteria; Pseudomonadati; Pseudomonadota; Gammaproteobacteria; Enterobacterales; Enterobacteriaceae.
AAAUUGAAGAGUUUGAUCAUGGCUCAGAUUGAACGCUGGCGGCAGGCCUAACACAUGCAAGUCGAGCGGUAGCACAGAGAGCUUGCUCUCGGGUGACGAGCGGCGGACGGGUGAGUAAUGUCUGGGAAACUGCCUGAUGGAGGGGGAUAACUACUGGAAACGGUAGCUAAUACCGCA